UGUGGCUCUGAGACAACCAGCCUUGUUGCUGAGCACUGUGAUUUUUUUUCAGCAACCAGGCAACUUGUUUAAACCACCAAAGAGCAGAGGCAGAGCCUGCAAGAAGCUGAGGCCAGCUGCAAAGUUUUGCAGAAGACUCCCACUUCCAAAGCAAACCAAAAAGUCAGGGUACAGUGAUGGUGCAUCUAUGGAUUUUUUUUUCUAUUUUUUUUUUUUGAGAUCAGCUGCUAAGGAAAUAAAACCCCAUGCAAUUUCCAGCAAUGAAAAGUGAAUCAGUUCUUUUGCUUAAAAAACCCCCAAAACCUCAUUUUCAUAUUUCCAUAUUUAAUUUUUGCACUUGCAUGUAAAUUUCUGUUAUCUUCCAGCCACAUGUUGCUAUUUGUCUCAGUAGUGAAGGAUUUUUUUUCCUUUUUUUUUUUUUGACUGUGGACUAUGUGAAGCCUGACUUGCAUGUAAAAGAUCCACAGGGAAAAAAAUCCUCCAGUCCUCACUGAAUUAAAGAGAGCUGGCAUGCCACAGGAUUGUGGGAGCACCCCACACUCAACACCACCUUGGAUGGCACAUGGAGCAGGCACGGAGGAUCACACACCUACAGACCAAUAUUUCGUGGCCAGUGCAAAGUCCCACAGCAGAUCAACAGACAUGGGCAAUGGGAGGCUGAAAAAAAUUACCAGCCACUUUCUCUUCCAAAAAUCAGCCAGUUUUGGCCAACUAAACACUGUUUAGCACUCAGCUGGUAACUCUGCAGCUUCUACAGAGUACAACUACCUAAACUCUGGCAAAAUGAGAGCUCUGAGAUUUAUGAGACCAUUCCAGGCAAUUUCACUGCAUUUAGGUUGUUGUUUAUGUUAGUCAGCCCUCAGCUAUCUGCCUUUCAAUGAGAUUCAGGCUUGCAAGAUAUUUGGGUGCUUUUGAAAAGGUUACAUGCAGUCAAAAGCAGGCAGCCAGACUCCUGAACUCAGCCAGAGCUAGUGAGGCAGCUCAGCCUUACAAUAUGUCUUAACCCAGCGGCAGCAGUGCUUGGACAGACAUCAUUUCUGUUGUGCUUGUUGGCAGACAAGAUUUCAGACAGACUCUGGUUAUGAUUUAGUUUUGGUCUACAUGUUCAGUGCUCAGUCAAAAUCCUUGUGCAGCCAACACAGCGACUGCCUUCAAUAGGAGAGAGAGUAAAUGCAAUGUUUUCAGUUUGAACAAUAUUUCAGUUGCUGUUUUGUCAGUGGACCAGAGCCACUCUUUAACUGCUCCAAUCUGCUCCCAGGCUGCAGACAGCUCUGGUUUGUCCACAUAAAGUAUGUUCAGUGAACUAGUCCUGCAAGUUUGCAGAGGGGACAUACCUCCAGCUUCACUGUGUCAGUGUUUCUUCUGGUGCCAUCACAGGACUGCCAAACCCACCAGUGUUCCCGCUCUCUGCACCUGCAGCAGGAAAAAAGGUUUAACAAGGGUUCUUCCAGCCCUGAUGACAAAGCUGGAACUCAAAAAACACAACAGUGCACGUUGUGUAUCACCUGGUAUUGAUCUCCUUCCCUUCUUGUUCUUCGUUUUCUGUAUCUCUAUAUUUAUAAGUCUUCCCUCCAUGGCACCCAGGUGCCAGCUAAGCCAUGCAACUGCAAUUCCCGAGGUUUGAGAAGCAACUAUUGAUAAUGUAUGAAGACUACGAUACUUUUUAUGGGAAUUGACAGGUUUUGAACUUAAAGAGGCUAUGAGUAAAACCAGUGUUAAAGUGAGACUCUGAAAAAUUAAGGACAAAGUAAUGGGCUUUUAUGCAUUUUUUUCAACUUCCAAAUGUACCUGCAACUAAUAUUAAAUUAUCACUAUAAAUAUUACACAUUAUAAAGACACUAGAUUACUAUUUCUAGUGUAAGGGGCAAAAAAGCAUGGGUUUCUUUUUUCUUCUGAGCUGGGGAGUGUUUGUGUGUCAUUUGGCACUUUAAAGGUUAGCCUGUUCCUACGAAAAUCUUGAAAUUCAGCCAAAGACAUCCUGGUAUUACACACUUUUCUCCUGAAUCCCUAUUCAUGUAGCAUUUUCCUUCUGGAGCAGUUAACAUAAAAGGUCUUGGUUAAAAGAAGCUUUCCUCUUGGAAAAGAUAAUCUGCCUUCAAAGUUAUAAGUUAAACAACUGAGUGGUCUAAUUGAUUGAACAUUUACAAAUUAUAAUUGAAUUUGUGCCAAACUAUGUGAAAAAGAUUUAUGUUCCGCUUCCCAUUCUGUUUACCCCUCAUUUUUUUGUGUGUGUGUGCAUGUGUGAACUGAAUCUUUGGGAACUCCUUUCACUUGACGCAUCAUUGAGGUGGUUAAACACAUUGCAUUAUGGCAGUCUGUCACAUCAGUGUUUCACACUGAAAUACUGGACUUGACACAUCCCUGGAAAAGGAAGCCAGACCAUCCAAAAUCCAGAGUUAUGCUGCUUUUGAAACUUGAGAUUCUGAAGACAGAAUUUUCACUUAGCUCCAACUGCAAGGGAAGAAAAAAGGAGGGGAAAAAAAAGGUUUAAGUAAAUAUAAUGCAGCUUUUUAAGCAUAAAAAAGAAUUUUCAUGAAAAUAAUAGUGUCUUGAUUGUCCUGCUUAUGAGUGGAGACAGCCAACUCUCCGUAAAUACUCAUAUUUAUUUUGGUGAUCCUCUGUGAAGUAAUUAUGGAAGGACAAUAAGGGGGACAGAAUCUGAGUCUCCAGCAAACAAAAUGCAAUGCAUUGCCAUAUUUCUAUGCAACAAUUUCUUGAAUAUGAGGAGUUCAAAAGCACGUGAACUCUUACCUGAGCCCUUGAUGAUGAUGAUGAAAAUUUAGCCAAUGAACAACAUUCUUGAGAGAAUGUUUCUUUCAACAGGAUGUGAUCUAAUAUUCAGAUGAAGACCUGUAGUAGUUUCAGGGCUGUAUCUUGUAUUUGCAAAGGAAGAAUUGCAAGUCCAUUGAAAUGCAAAGCUUUAAAUCUUGUUUUCCUAUGCAUGAACCCAAAAAUAAUUUUAAAAUCUUCUACCACAUUCUUCAGUUUAGCCCAUUCUCACACUAUAACACUGCCCAGACAAGUCCACUGAUCAUACACAAGACUGAAUAUGAUCACCUUCUUCUCUAAUCAGAGAGUAUCAAAAUUUCUUUUUGCUGAUUUCAUCACAAAAAAAAAAAAAAAAAGAAAA
This is a long non-coding RNA of Corvus hawaiiensis (hawaiian crow), 3130 nucleotides long. RefSeq lists it as uncharacterized. The transcript is spliced from 2 exons. NCBI's taxonomy places the organism in Eukaryota, Metazoa, Chordata, Aves, Passeriformes, Corvidae. The record is from RefSeq and is a predicted model, not a curated record.